Molecule: ribosomal RNA, 253 nt
Filed under: uncultured bacterium
Lineage: Bacteria
Description: partial 16S ribosomal RNA
Rfam family: Bacterial small subunit ribosomal RNA
Source: RNAcentral
UACGUAGGGCGCAAGCGUUGUCCGGAAUUAUUGGGCGUAAAGAGCUCGUAGGCGGCCUGUUACGUCUGCUGUGAAAUCCCGGGGCUUAACCCCGGGCGUGCAGUGGAUACGGGCAGGCUGGAGGCAGGCAGGGGAGAACGGAAUUCCCGGUGUAGCGGUGAAAUGUGCAGAUAUCGGGAGGAACACCGGUGGCGAAGGCGGUUCUCUGGGACGGUACUGACGCUGAGACGCGAAAGCGUGGGGAGCAAACAGG